Molecule: ribosomal RNA, 500 nt
Filed under: uncultured bacterium
Lineage: Bacteria
Description: partial 16S ribosomal RNA
Rfam family: Bacterial small subunit ribosomal RNA
Source: RNAcentral
AUUGAACGCUGGCGGAAUGCUUUACACAUGCAAGUCGAACGGCAGCACGGACUUCGGUCUGGUGGCGAGUGGCGAACGGGUGAGUAAUGUAUCGGAACGUGCCCAGUCGCGGGGGAUAACGUAGUGAAGAUUACGCUAAUACCGCAUACGAUCUAUGGAUGAAAGCGGGGGAUCGCAAGACCUCGCGCGAUUGGAGUGGCCGAUAUCAGAUUAGGUAGUUGGUGGGGUAAAGGCCCACCAAGCCAACGAUCUGUAGCUGGUCUGAGAGGACGACCAGCCACACUGGAACUGAGACACGGUCCAGACUCCUACGGGAGGCAGCAGUGGGGAAUUUUGGACAAUGGGCGAAAGCCUGAUCCAGCCAUUUCGCGUGCAGGAUGAAGGCCCUCGGGUUGUAAACUGCUUUUGUACAGAACGAAAAGGUUUCUACUAAUACUAGGAGCUCAUGACGGUACUGUAAGAAUAAGCACCGGCUAACUACGUGCCAGCCGCCGCGGUAA